CCACCCUCCAAGGCUAAAUACUACCUAGUGACCGAUAGCGUAUAGUCCCGUGAGGGAAAGGUGAAAAGAACCCCGGGAGGGGAGUGAAAUAGAACCUGAAACCCUGCACUUACAAGCUGUGGAAGCACAUUUCUUGUGUGACCGCGUACUUUUUGUAGAACGGGCCAACGAGUUACGUUAAGUAGCAAGGUUAAGCACUUAAGG
Molecule: ribosomal RNA, 204 nt
Filed under: Clostridioides difficile
Lineage: Bacteria; Bacillati; Bacillota; Clostridia; Peptostreptococcales; Peptostreptococcaceae
Description: partial 23S ribosomal RNA
Rfam family: Bacterial large subunit ribosomal RNA
Source: RNAcentral